This 560-nucleotide ribosomal RNA is filed under the name Aureobasidium proteae. RNAcentral describes it as "partial 26S ribosomal RNA". The record is from RNAcentral. Lineage: Eukaryota; Fungi; Ascomycota; Dothideomycetes; Dothideales; Saccotheciaceae.
CUUACAACCAUUACGCCAGCAUCCUAGCCGAAGCGCGGACCUCAGUCCCGGCUGGCCGUAUUACACCCUGGGCUAUAACACCUCCACCGAAGUGGAGGCCACAUUCCCAGAGCCUUUAUCCGGCCGCCGAAACUGAUGCUGGCCUGUCCAAACUGAGUAAACCGGUCAGAAGACCGGCCGAACAGUUUAAACAAGUCUGAUUGCAAGCGCUUCCCUUUCAACAAUUUCACGUGCUUUUUAACUCUCUUUCCAAAGUGCUUUUCAUCUUUCGAUCACUCUACUUGUGCGCUAUCGGUCUCUCGCCAAUAUUUAGCUUUAGAAGAAAUUUACCUCCCAUUUAGAGCUGCAUUCCCAAACAACUCGACUCGUCGAAGGAGAUUUACAUAGGGUGCCAUUUCCUGUCACAUACGGGAUUCUCACCCUCUAUGACGUCCUGUUCCAAGGAACUUAGACAGGCGGCUUCCCCAAAUCAUCCUCUACAAAUUACAAUGCGAACCCGAAGGCUAGCUUUCAAAUUUGAGCUGUUGCCGCUUCACUCGCCGUUACUAGGGCAAUCCCUG